UACGGUCACAUCACGUUGAAACACCGGUUCCGUACGUAUCACCGAAGUUAAGCAACGUCGAGUUUGGUCAGUACCUAGAUGGGUGACUGUUUGGAAAUACUAGGUCUUGUA
Non-coding RNA from Acanthosepion pharaonis, 111 nucleotides. NCBI's taxonomy places the organism in Eukaryota, Metazoa, Mollusca, Cephalopoda, Sepiida, Sepiidae. The record is from the annotation of a GenBank genome assembly.